ACGGAAGGCAGCAGUGGGGAAUAUUGGGCAAUGGGGGAAACCCUGACCCAGCAACGCCGCGUGAAGGAAGAAGGCCUUCGGGUUGUAAACUUCUUUUACCAGGGACGAUAAUGACGGUACCUGGAGAAAAAGCAACGGCUAACUACGUGCCAGCAGCCGCGGUAAUACGUAGGUUGCAAGCGUUGUCCGGACUUACUGGGUGUAAAGGGCGUGUAGGCGGAGCUGCAAGUCAGAUGUGAAAUCCCGGGGCUCAACCCCGGAACUGCAUUUGAAACUGUAGCCCUUGAGUAUCGGAGAGGCAAGCGGAAUUCCUAGUGUAGCGGUGAAAUGCGUAGAUAUUAGGAGGAACACCAGUGGCGAAGGCGGCUUGCUGGACGACAACUGACGCUGAGGCGCGAAAGCGUGGGGAGCAAACAGGAUUAGAUACCCUGGUA
This 434-nucleotide ribosomal RNA is filed under the name uncultured Oscillospiraceae bacterium. Its description in RNAcentral is "partial 16S ribosomal RNA". It matches the Rfam family "Bacterial small subunit ribosomal RNA", at positions 341 to 792 of the family's 1533-position model. Lineage: Bacteria; Bacillati; Bacillota; Clostridia; Eubacteriales; Oscillospiraceae. The record is from RNAcentral.